UAAAUUCACCACAGUACAUUCUACAUAAAUGGAAGAUGAUAUUCACUGCUAAACAAAAACACCUUGCUUUCUCCAGUUUAUCUGUUCCUUGAUAGAUGACACAGAAGGUGUGCGUUUAGAUGGAGUAGAAAACAGUAGCACAUCUAUCAGAUGAUUAAUUGGAUUGAGAUUUCAAGAAUUUGGAAGCAAAGUCAACGUCUUGUCAUGAUUCUUGUACUAAUGUUUGCAGUGUGGCUGGGGGCAUUAUCUUGCAAAAAUAGGCCACUGCCAUUAGAGAAUACUGCUGCCAUGGAGCUUUUUAGUGUAAUCACUGGACACGGGACAGGGGCUGAACUACAGAGGAGAACCAUAGAGGAGAAUUUCUAUCCACACAUCUGUUGUUUGAGAACAUUUCCCUUCCGAGGUUGCCGACCCUUGGGCUUCCCCCUCCCCCCUUUUUUUCUCUUUGUUUUCAAUUAAUGAAUAUGUGGUAUCUGUAGUAUCAGUAUCGCACUGAAACCA
Molecule: long non-coding RNA, 501 nt
Organism: Hyla sarda
Lineage: Eukaryota; Metazoa; Chordata; Amphibia; Anura; Hylidae
Exons: 3
Source: RefSeq, a predicted model, not a curated record